Molecule: ribosomal RNA, 253 nt
Filed under: uncultured bacterium
Lineage: Bacteria
Description: partial 16S ribosomal RNA
Rfam family: Bacterial small subunit ribosomal RNA
Source: RNAcentral
UACGGAGGGUGCAAGCAUUGAUCGGAAUUACUGGGCGUAAAGGGCGCGUAGGCGGUUCAGAAAGUCAGAUGUGAAAUUCCGGGGCUCAACCCCGGAGCUGCAUUUGAAACUUCUGAACUAGUGUGCAGUUAGGGUAAACGGAAUUCCACGUGUAGCGGUGAAAUGCGUAGAUAUGUGGAAGAACACCGGUGGUGAAGACGGUUUACUGGGCUGUAACAGACGCUGAGGCGCGAAAGCAAGGGGAGCAAACAGG